GUCCUUAUCAUGUAUUGAUAAAGGCACACAACACGAGUGUAACAUACAACGUUUAAGGAUUAUAACAGAUAAGAGAGGCAAGAUGAGAUAUCUCUUUGUUUUUCUGGUAAUGUUACCAUUUGUCUUUACCACACCGUCAAAGCGGUUUCUCUUGGAUUCUUUUGGCAGAGAAUUGGCAAUACACGAGAUAACACAAUGGAUUGCCUGUAAUCCAGGCAUGACUCAUGAUACAUGUGUUGCCGAAUGCCCGAAAUUACAUAUCUCCCAUACUUAUUUCUGCGGCCUUGCUUGUACAUCGAUCCUUAAGUCGAUACAAGAUGGCCAUUCCAGUGUUACGUGUGCAACUGGAUAAAUGAAAAGUUUAUUAAGACUUCUUCAAGAUUUCAAUCAAGUUGGAUAUUGACUCAAAUUUUAGACAUUAAAUAAAGUUCUGAUAUUUA
Long non-coding RNA from Mytilus trossulus (common blue mussel), 440 nucleotides. RefSeq lists it as uncharacterized. NCBI's taxonomy places the organism in Eukaryota, Metazoa, Mollusca, Bivalvia, Mytilida, Mytilidae. The record is from RefSeq and is a predicted model, not a curated record. The transcript is spliced from 5 exons.